This 327-nucleotide unclassified non-coding RNA is filed under the name soil metagenome. RNAcentral's name for it is "partial contains 5.8S ribosomal RNA, internal transcribed spacer 2, and large subunit ribosomal RNA". The stretch from base 1 to 120 matches the Rfam family "5.8S ribosomal RNA", at positions 35 to 154 of the family's 154-position model. The record is from RNAcentral.
GAUGAAGAACGUAGCGAAAUGCGAUAAGUAAUGUGAAUUGCAGAAUUCAGUGAAUCAUCGAAUCUUUGAACGCACAUUGCGCCCUUUGGUAUUCCGAAGGGCAUGCCUGUUCGAGCGUCAUUUCACCACUCAAGCCUGGCUUGGUAUUGGGCGCCGCGGUCGAUCCGCGCGCCUCAAAGUCUCCGGCUGAGCUGUCCGUCUCUAAGCGUUGUGAUUUCAUUAAUCGCUUCGGAGUGCGGGCGGCUGCGGCCGUUAAAUCUUUCACAAGGUUGACCUCGGAUCAGGUAGGGAUACCCGCUGAACUUAAGCAUAUCAAUAAGCGGAGGA